GAUGAACGCUAGCUACAGGCUUAACACAUGCAAGUCGAGGGGAAACGGCAUUAAGUGCUUGCACUUUUUGGACGUCGACCGGCGCACGGGUGAGUAACGCGUAUCCAACCUUCCCAUGACUAAGGGAUAACCUGCCGAAAGGCAGACUAAUACCUUAUGGUCUUCACUGACGGCAUCAGAUGUGAAGUAAAGAUUUAUCGGUUAUGGAUGGGGAUGCGUCUGAUUAGCUUGUUGGCGGGGUAACGGCCCACCAAGGCAACGAUCAGUAGGGGUUCUGAGAGGAAGGUCCCCUACAUUGGAACUGCGACCCGGUCCAAACUCCGACGGGAGGCAGCAGUGAGGAAUAUUGGUCAAUGGGCGAGAGCCUGACCCAGCCAAGUAGCGUGCAGGAGGACGGCCCUAGGGGUGGUAAUCUGUUUUUGUAUGGGGAUAACGUCAAUCACGUGUGAUUGUUUGCAGGUACCAUAAGAAUAAGGACCGGCUAAUUCCGUG
RNAcentral lists this ribosomal RNA (492 nucleotides) under uncultured bacterium. RNAcentral's name for it is "partial 16S ribosomal RNA". It matches the Rfam family "Bacterial small subunit ribosomal RNA", at positions 28 to 507 of the family's 1533-position model. The record is from RNAcentral.